AUACUGACCCGCUUGGGCAUCCAAGCGGUUCGAAAGCUCCGGCGGUGCAGGAUGAGCCCGCGGCCUAUCAGCUUGUUGGUGAGGUAAUGGCUCACCAAGGCGACGACGGGUAGCCGGCCUGAGAGGGCGACCGGCCACACUGGGACUGAGACACGGCCCAGACUCCUACGGGAGGCAGCAGUGGGGAAAUUGCACAAUGGGAUAAAUCCUGAUGCAGCGACGCCGCGUGAGGGAUGACGGCCUUCCGGUUGUAAACCUCUUUCAGCAGGGAAUAAGCGAAAGUGACGGUACCUGCCGAAGAACCGCCGCCCAACUACGUGCCAGCAGCCGCGGUAAUAAGUAGGGCGCGAGCGUUGUCAGGAAUUAUUGAGGCGUAGAAAGCUCGUAGGAGCUUUUCAAUUAGGUUCUGAAACCCCUGGG
This 420-nucleotide ribosomal RNA is filed under the name Streptomyces sp. RNAcentral describes it as "bacterial SSU rRNA". It matches the Rfam family "Bacterial small subunit ribosomal RNA", at positions 173 to 607 of the family's 1533-position model. The record is from RNAcentral. Lineage: Bacteria; Bacillati; Actinomycetota; Actinomycetes; Kitasatosporales; Streptomycetaceae.